GGAAGGGUGGCCGAGUGGUUUAAGGCAACGGUCUUGAAAACCGUCGUGGGGGCAACUUCACCGUGGGUUCGAAUCCCACCCCUUCCGCCA
This 90-nucleotide transfer RNA is filed under the name Sandarakinorhabdus fusca. Its description in RNAcentral is "Polymorphobacter fuscus tRNA-Ser". It matches the Rfam family "tRNA". Rfam says of the family: Transfer RNA (tRNA) molecules are approximately 80 nucleotides in length. The record is from RNAcentral. Lineage: Bacteria; Pseudomonadati; Pseudomonadota; Alphaproteobacteria; Sphingomonadales; Sphingosinicellaceae.